This 419-nucleotide ribosomal RNA is filed under the name bacterium. RNAcentral's name for it is "partial 16S ribosomal RNA". It matches the Rfam family "Bacterial small subunit ribosomal RNA", at positions 355 to 776 of the family's 1533-position model. The record is from RNAcentral.
UGGGGGAUAUUGCACAAUGGGCGAAAGCCUGAUGCAGCGACGCCGCGUGGGGGAUGAAGGCCUUCGGGUUGUAAACUUCUUUUGCUCUGAACAAGGCAUGCUAAUGGGUGUGUUGAGUGUAGGGGUUGAUUAGCGCCGGCUAACUACGUGCCAGCAGCCGCGGUAAUACGUAGGGCGCGAGCGUUGUCCGGAAUUAUUGGGCGUAAAGAGCUUGUAGGUGGCUGGUUGCGUCUGUCGUGAAAGCUCAUGGCUUAACUGUGGGUUUGAGGUGGGUACGGGCUGGCUUGAGUGCAGUAGGGGAGGCUGGAAUUCCUGGUGUAGCGGUGGAAUGCGCAGAUAUCAGGAGGAAUACCGGUGGCGAAGGCGGGUCUCUGGGCUGUUACUGACACUGAGGAGCGAAAGCAUGGGGAGCGAACAGG